GUGACUAUAAGAAUUGAAGUAUACGUACUGCAAAAUGGCAUCCUGGAUUGUAACCAAAUAGGGAGGAAGAUACAAGAAAAUGUAU
Caenorhabditis elegans is the source of this 85-nucleotide non-coding RNA. Lineage: Eukaryota; Metazoa; Nematoda; Chromadorea; Rhabditida; Rhabditidae. The record is from Ensembl.